This 253-nucleotide ribosomal RNA is filed under the name uncultured bacterium. RNAcentral describes it as "partial 16S ribosomal RNA". It matches the Rfam family "Bacterial small subunit ribosomal RNA", at positions 524 to 776 of the family's 1533-position model. The record is from RNAcentral.
UACGGGGGGGGCAAGCGUUGUUCGGAAUUACUGGGCGUAAAGGGCUCGUAGGCGGCCAACUAAGUCGGACGUGAAAUCCCCAGGCUCAACCUGGGAACUGCGUCCGAUACUGGAUGGCUCGAAUCCGGGAGAGGGAUGUGGAAUUCCAGGUGUAGCGGUGAAAUGCGUAGAUAUCUGGAGGAACACCGGUGGCGAAGGCGGCAUCCUGGACCGGUAUUGACGCUGAGGCGCGAAAGCCAGGGGAGCAAACGGG